UUGCAGUAUUUUGUUAUUGGGUACCUUUGCCACAAAAGGCUCCUAGGUGCAUUUUUGAGUUUUUAAUGUGCUUGAGAAUGUUCUCAUCUCUAGGCUUGAAGAGCAGAUGGUUAAAUUGUCCUAAUGAUUUGGUGAUCUGGACAACAAAGUGAUACUGUUAUUUCUCAGUGAAACGACUUAAAGAUGGCCCACAUCUCCAGCACUUAGAUGUUCCUCGGAAUCCUGCCUGAGGCCUGGGACCAUGGACCUUUUGUUCACAGCCAGCACGGCUGCCCCAGAAGGCCCCUUUCGUCCUCCGGGAAGUCCAAUCUGUUCUCAGACCACCAGAGCGUCUCUCUGCCUCUUCUAAAACCCCUCUGUAUCGGUAUGAAAGAAGAUUUUUGGUCAGAUGUAUCCAAGGGCUGUGUCCACUUGCUGCCUUACAUUUCUGCUCCUGUGCAGUCAUCACACCCUUGCAGGGAGGGCUUGGUCCAAACCAGGAGGCUGGCCCUCUUCAUUCUCAGUAUCUUGGUGGAUACAUCGGGUUGGUUCUGCUUUGCACAUGUGGCUGUCUUUGAUAUAGUCAGAAAUAGGGAGCCCUUCUUACACUUACACCCCCAGGCAUGAGCUUCACUCCAGCUUAUUAGAGAAACUCUGAAUUAGGUAAUCACUUACUUGGUUUCUUUUCUACAACUUUUCAUUAUAUGCACAGCUUCCUUAGUUAGUCAUCCUGAGGGGGGAGGAGGGCUGUGUGUUAAUAUUUGAGAAAUAAAACCCCACCCUCAAACCCCCAAAUGUCAUGGUCCUUGAAGUGUUAUGAGAGGCCAACUGCUAUGGAAGUUAAAGGCCGAGUUUCUAGAAUCAGAAAGACCAGCAUUGAAUCUGGGCUUCAUUACUCUGGGACUUGAAAAUGUGUCUUAAUCUUAACCUAAGUUUCAAAAAAAAAAAAAAAAUCUUAAUCUAAGUUACUUCAUUGUGAAAGGGAAGCAUGUUUGUAUCUACUACAUAGGGUUGUUGUGCAAAUUCUGUCCGAUAAUGCAUGUAAAGCACUUACUGCAAUCAGUGUCUGUAGGAAGUGGACAAUAAGUGCUAAGUAAAUCAUUUUAGUUUCUAAUUUUGAGGACAAUCAAGAGUACCUACAGCCAUGCAGCAUAUUUUUAUUCAAAAAGAUAAUUAAAUUCAAUUAAAAAAAGCUUUCUCCCAAAGUGGGAUUUAGAAUUAGCUGUGGAUUUUAAUAUUUUUCUUCUCAAUAUGUGGACAGUUUCUGUAUGGUUUAUUUCCCACAGUUUUUUUUUUUUUUUUUUAACACAUGUGUUCCUGCCCUUUACUUCAUAGUGUCAGCACUUUCAGGUCAUGGGGGACACUUAGCAGGGACAACUAAAUCAGAGUUUCAGGGUCAGAAAAGAUUACUGGAGAAAAUGGCAACUCAGCUGGCAAGAGAGAGUUACCCAAGCAUAGUGUGGGCGCAGAGGGUCUCCUGGCCAGCACCACCCACAGGAGAGAGAAAGUUUGAGUGCUGGGGGCUUGCAAGUCAUUUGUUAUGAUUGGGGUUAAAGGAGAGAAAGGAGUGGCUCUAGGUAAGUAUUCCGUCAUUGGCAGGGGUUGGGUCAUAGAGGGUCUAUAACUGGACACGAGAGAGAGGGCUUUCUAAUAAGGGCAAUGGAGAAUCACUGAGGGGUUUUUAAUAAGGCGGCUUAUAUGAGAAAGUGUUUUCUUUAGAAUGACUUUUCCUUACUACAGUGUGAAGAAUGGGUAGAGAAAGAAAGGCAAGAGGCAAUGAGACCACUUAGGAAGUUACAGGAAUCAGGCUGCCAGGAGAUGUUGGUGAUUUACACAAACAUGGUGUUCUUGGGGAUGGAGAAGAGUAGGUGAAUUCUAGAGAUAUUUUAGAGGUUAAUGUAUAGAGCUCCAUGAUUUAUUGGUUAAAAGUAGUGAGAAAGAGGUGAAACAUUUAAGUCUUAAGAUUUAAGUAACUGGUUGAUGGGGGUAUCAUUACUUAAGGUAAGGGCAUGUUUUGUGAGAAAGAAAAUAAAUUACUCAGCCAUUAGAAACGACAAAUACCCACCAUUUGCUUCAACGUGGAUGGAACUGGAGGGUAUUAUGCUGAGUGAAGUAAGUCAAUCGGAGAAGGACAAACAUUGUAUGUUCUCAUUCAUUUGGGGAAUAUAAAUAAUAGUGAAAGGGAAUAGAAGGGAAGGGAGAAGAAAUGUGUGGGAAAUAUCAGAAAGGGAGACAGAACAUAAAGACUCCUAACUCUGGGAAACGAA
RNAcentral lists this long non-coding RNA (2246 nucleotides) under Canis lupus familiaris (dog). Its description in RNAcentral is "lncRNA (ENSCAFG00000054496.1)". Lineage: Eukaryota; Metazoa; Chordata; Mammalia; Carnivora; Canidae. The record is from RNAcentral.